RNAcentral lists this ribosomal RNA (405 nucleotides) under Triticum aestivum (bread wheat). RNAcentral describes it as "partial small subunit ribosomal RNA". The record is from RNAcentral. Lineage: Eukaryota; Viridiplantae; Streptophyta; Magnoliopsida; Poales; Poaceae.
CCCCCUUCCAGCCACCGCCACCCCCAACAGCGCGAGCUCGAUGCCCAUCUCGUGCUCUGGAUCUACGCCACCCUCGCCGACAACCUUGUUGAUCAUGUCGUCGGCGCCACCACCACCUAUGAUCUCUGGCAUCGCAUCCGGGAUUAUUUCCUCGCGAAUAGGGCGGCUCGGUACAUGAUGCUCAACACGCAGUACCGCAACCUCAAGCAGGGGGGCCUUUCCGUUGCCGAGUACGCCCGCCGCAUGAAGCUGAUCCUCGCCGGCCUCGCCGACAUCGACCACGCCGUCACCGAGGUGGAUCUCACCACCCGGUUUCUCCACGGCAUCGACAAACGCCUCGACACCAUCCGCGUCGUCCUCGGGGACACCGUUCCUCUGCCGCCGUUUGAAACGGUGUUCUCUCGC